Molecule: ribosomal RNA, 104 nt
Filed under: uncultured eukaryote
Lineage: Eukaryota
Description: partial small subunit ribosomal RNA
Source: RNAcentral
UCGCUCCUACCGAUUUCGAGUGGUCCGGUGAAUCUUUUGGACUGCGCACGGCUUCGUGCCGCGUCGCGGAAAGUCAGGUAAACCUUAUCACUUAGAGGAAGGAG